This is an RNA transcript of Raphanus sativus (radish), 863 nucleotides long. It is a transcript of the gene named thylakoidal processing peptidase 1, chloroplastic-like, with no coding region annotated. The record is from RefSeq and is a predicted model, not a curated record. The transcript has 4 exons. Lineage: Eukaryota; Viridiplantae; Streptophyta; Magnoliopsida; Brassicales; Brassicaceae.
UUUUAUAGGAAAAUAAAAUCUAAAUCUAAGGGUGGAGAUAGUUCUGAAAUUAUAAUCUAAGGGAUAUACUUUUGUUUAGGAUCAUGUGUAUGAUGUCAUGCUUUAGCAAUCGACGCCUUCAUCGUAUCUCUUCAACCGCGUCCCCCUGCAGAAAUUAUUUCCUUUGAAGAGUUGUAUUCUUUCACACGGCAGCGUUUCAGUGGAACGUCCUCUUUUUCCUUACUGUUUCAAAUUUUCUCUGAUUUUCCUUUUUACCUCUUAUUUUUCAUUCCGCUCCAGAUAAUUUUCCUCUUGCCCUUUCACCUUUCUCUAGAGUUUCAGACUCCGAGACUCCGUUAAAGUAUUUUUGUUUCUCUGCAAUUUUCUAAUUAAUAAAUUUGGAAUGGAGGGUUUAACAAUUCAAUAUCUGCUCGGAUGAUGGUAUGGCAGCUUUCACGGCGGUUACUGUUUCUCUCGUUUUCCGUUCGGCGUGGGCUGAGCCAAAGUCUAUACCUUCAACGUUUAUGUACCUUACUCUCGACAUGGGUGAUCAUGUUAUGGCCGAGAAGGUCUCGUACUUGUUCAGAAGCCCAGGUUUCAGAUAUACUCAGCUUCAAGGUUCCUCCGGUUUUGGUAGUACGUAGGAACAUGGUUACAGUUGUAUGUUUUGAUUAAAAGGAUAGUUGCAAGCCGAGGUGACUGGCUUGAAAGGCCCUUAUAUCUUAACCAAUUGUUUGUGAUGGAUAGCUCUCGGUGAAUGACACGUUCAAGUAUAGGAUUUGUCUUCAUAUGGUAUCUUAUUGUAAACUUAAUUAUUGAUGUUUAGUUAUAUAUUUUCAUUGUUUCGUAUUUAUUUUCCUAAUUCUAUUUCAUUAGUAUUUCUU